Molecule: ribosomal RNA, 441 nt
Filed under: uncultured bacterium
Lineage: Bacteria
Description: partial 16S ribosomal RNA
Rfam family: Bacterial small subunit ribosomal RNA
Source: RNAcentral
CCUACGGGAGGCAGCAGUGGGGAAUAUUGCACAAUGGGCGAAAGCCUGAUGCAGCAACGCCGCGUGAAGGAAGACGGUUUUCGGAUUGUAAACUUCUGUUCUUAGUGAAGAAUAAUGACGGUAACUAAGGAGCAAGCCACGGCUAACUACGUGCCAGCAGCCGCGGUAAUACGUAGGGGGCAAGCGUUAUCCGGAUUUACUGGGUGUAAAGGGAGCGUAGACGGUGAGACAAGUCUGAAGUGAAAGCCCGGGGCUCAACCCCGGGACUGCUUUGGAAACUGCCUGACUGGAGUGCUGGAGAGGCAAGCGGAAUUCCUAGUGUAGCGGUGAAAUGCGUAGAUAUUAGGAAGAACACCAGUGGCGAAGGCGGCUUGCUGGACAGUAACUGACGUUGAGGCUCGAAAGCGUGGGGAGCAAACAGGAUUAGAUACCCGAGUAGUC